UGAAAUUCGCCGAGCUAUUUCCGCUAAACCUGACAUUUUGUUCACGCAUGCAGAUAUAGCCGCAAGCCAAAUUUAAUUUUGUGUUUGCCAGGGCUAACGAGGAAACUUGUUUGCCUCCCGACAUUGGAAAGGUGACAUGUUAA
Molecule: non-coding RNA, 143 nt
Filed under: uncultured Cognaticolwellia sp.
Lineage: Bacteria; Pseudomonadati; Pseudomonadota; Gammaproteobacteria; Alteromonadales; Colwelliaceae
Description: Moco (molybdenum cofactor) riboswitch
Rfam family: Molybdenum/Tungsten riboswitch aptamer (Moco RNA motif)
Source: RNAcentral